This 1105-nucleotide ribosomal RNA is filed under the name Bacillus subtilis. RNAcentral describes it as "bacterial SSU rRNA". It matches the Rfam family "Bacterial small subunit ribosomal RNA", at positions 54 to 1156 of the family's 1533-position model. The record is from RNAcentral. Lineage: Bacteria; Bacillati; Bacillota; Bacilli; Caryophanales; Bacillaceae.
AAUGCAGUCGAGCGGAAGAUGGGAGCUUGCUCCCUGAUGUUAGCGGCGGACGGGUGAGUAACACGUGGGUAACCUGCCUGUAAGACUGUGGAUAACUCCGCGGAAACCGGGGCUAAUACCGGAUGGUUGUUUGAACCGCAUGGUUCAGACAUAAAAGGUGGCUUCGGCUACCACUUACAGAUGGACCCGCGGCGCAUUAGCUAGUUGGUGAGGUAACGGCUCACCAAGGCGACGAUGCGUAGCCGACCUGAGAGGGUGAUCGGCCACACUGGGACUGAGACACGGCCCAGACUCCUACGGGAGGCAGCAGUAGGGAAUCUUCCGCAAUGGACGAAAGUCUGACGGAGCAACGCCGCGUGAGUGAUGAAGGUUUUCGGAUCGUAAAGCUCUGUUGUUAGGGAAGAACAAGUGCCGUUCAAAUAGGGCGGCACCUUGACGGUACCUAACCAGAAAGCCACGGCUAACUACGUGCCAGCAGCCGCGGUAAUACGUAGGUGGCAAGCGUUGUCCGGAAUUAUUGGGCGUAAAGGGCUCGCAGGCGGUUUCUUAAGUCUGAUGUGAAAGCCCCCGGCUCAACCGGGGAGGGUCAUUGGAAACUGGGGAACUUGAGUGCAGAAGAGGAGAGUGGAAUUCCACGUGUAGCGGUGAAAUGCGUAGAGAUGUGGAGGAACACCAGUGGCGAAGGCGACUCUCUGGUCUGUAACUGACGCUGAGGAGCGAAAGCGUGGGGAGCGAACAGGAUUAGAUACCCUGGUAGUCCACGCCGUAAACGAUGAGUGCUAAGUGUUAGGGGGUUUCCGCCCCUUAGUGCUGCAGCUAACGCAUUAAGCACUCCGCCUGGGGAGUACGGUCGCAAGACUGAAACUCAAAGGAAUUGACGGGGGCCCGCACAAGCGGUGGAGCAUGUGGUUUAAUUCGAAGCAACGCGAAGAACCUUACCAGGUCUUGACAUCCUCUGACACUCUAGAGAUAGGACGUCCCCUUCGGGGCAGAGUGACAGGGGGGCAUGGUUUCCACUCGCGUCCCGAGAUGUUGGGUUAAGUCCAACAACCGCAACCCUUGAUCUUAUUUGCCACUUUCCUUGGGCCUCUAAGGGACUGCCGGG